GGGUUGUGAGGUUAAGCGACUAAGCGUACACGGUGGAUGCCCUGGCAGUCAGAGGCGAUGAAGGACGUGCUAAUCUGCGAAAAGCGUCGGUAAGGUGAUAUGAACCGUUAUAACCGGCGAUGUCCGAAUGGGGAAACCCAGUGCAAUUCGUUGCACUAUCGUUAACUGAAUACAUAGGUUAACGAGGCGAACCGGGGGAACUGAAACAUCUAAGUACCCCGAGGAAAAGAAAUCAACCGAGAUUCCCCCAGUAGCGGCGAGCGAACGGGGAGCAGCCCAGAGUCUGAAUCAGCUUGUGUGUUAGUGGAACGGUCUGGAAAGUCCGACGGUACAGGGUGAUAGUCCCGUACACCAAAAUGCACAGGUUGUGAACUCGAAGAGUAGGGCGGGACACGUGGUAUCCUGUCUGAAUAUGGGGGGACCAUCCUCCAAGGCUAAAUACUCCUGACUGACCGAUAGUGAACCAGUACCGUGAGGGAAAGGCGAAAAGAACCCCGGCGAGGGGAGUGAAAAAGAACCUGAAACCGUGUACGUACAAGCAGUGGGAGCACCUUCGGGUGUGACUGCGUACCUUUUGUAUAAUGGGUCAGCGACUUAUAUUCUGUAGCAAGGUUAACCGUAUAGGGGAGCCGCAGGGAAACCGAGUCUUAACUGGGCGUUAAGUUGCAGGGUAUAGACCCGAAACCCGGUGAUCUAGCCAUGGGCAGGUUGAAGGUUGGGUAACACUAACUGGAGGACCGAACCGACUAAUGUUGAAAAAUUAGCGGAUGACUUGUGGCUGGGGGUGAAAGGCCAAUCAAACCGGGAGAUAGCUGGUUCUCCCCGAAAGCUAUUUAGGUAGCGCCUCGUGAAUUCAUCUUCGGGGGUAGAGCACUGUUUCGGCUAGGGGGUCAUCCCGACUUACCAACCCGAUGCAAACUACGAAUACCGAAGAAUGUUAUCACGGGAGACACACGGCGGGUGCUAACGUCCGUCGUGAAGAGGGAAACAACCCAGACCGCCAGCUAAGGUCCCAAAGUCAUGGUUAAGUGGGAAACGAUGUGGGAAGGCACAGACAGCCAGGAUGUUGGCUUAGAAGCAGCCAUCAUUUAAAGAAAGCGUAAUAGCUCACUGGUCGAGUCGGCCUGCGCGGAAGAUGUAACGGGGCUAAACCAUGCACCGAAGCUGCGGCAGCGACACUAUGUGUUGUUGGGUAGGGGAGCGUUCUGUAAGCCUGCGAAGGUGUGCUGUGAGGUUGCUGGAGGUAUCAGAAGUGCGAAUGCUGACAUAAGUAACGAUAAAGCGGGUGAAAAGCCCGCUCGCCGGAAGACCAAGGGUUCCUGUCCAACGUUAAUCGGGGCAGGGUGAGUCGACCCCUAAGGCGAGGCCGAAAGGCGUAGUCGAUGGGAAACAGGUUAAUAUUCCUGUACUUGGUGUUACUGCGAAGGGGGGACGGAGAAGGCUAUGUUAGCCGGGCGACGGUUGUCCCGGUUUAAGCAUGUAGGCUGGUUAUCCAGGCAAAUCCGGAUAAUCAAGGCUGAGGUGUGAUGACGAGGCACUACGGUGCUGAAGUAACAAAUGCCCUGCUUCCAGGAAAAGCCUCUAAGCAUCAGGUAACAUCAAAUCGUACCCCAAACCGACACAGGUGGUCAGGUAGAGAAUACCAAGGCGCUUGAGAGAACUCGGGUGAAGGAACUAGGCAAAAUGGUGCCGUAACUUCGGGAGAAGGCACGCUGGUGUGUAGGUGAAGCCCCUGCGGAUGGAGCUGAGACCAGUCGAAGAUACCAGCUGGCUGCAACUGUUUAUUAAAAACACAGCACUGUGCAAACACGAAAGUGGACGUAUACGGUGUGACGCCUGCCCGGUGCCGGAAGGUUAAUUGAUGGGGUUAUCCGUAAGGAGAAGCUCUUGAUCGAAGCCCCGGUAAACGGCGGCCGUAACUAUAACGGUCCUAAGGUAGCGAAAUUCCUUGUCGGGUAAGUUCCGACCUGCACGAAUGGCGUAAUGAUGGCCAGGCUGUCUCCACCCGAGACUCAGUGAAAUUGAACUCGCUGUGAAGAUGCAGUGUACCCGCGGCAAGACGGAAAGACCCCGUGAACCUUUACUAUAGCUUGACACUGAACAUUGAGCCUUGAUGUGUAGGAUAGGUGGGAGGCUUUGAAGCGUGGACGCCAGUCUGCGUGGAGCCAACCUUGAAAUACCACCCUUUAAUGUUUGAUGUUCUAACGUUGGCCCCUGACCGGGGUUGCGGACAGUGUCUGGUGGGUAGUUUGACUGGGGCGGUCUCCUCCCAAAGCGUAACGGAGGAGCACGAAGGUUAGCUAAUCCUGGUCGGACAUCAGGAGGUUAGUGCAAUGGCAUAAGCUAGCUUGACUGCGAGCGUGACGGCGCGAGCAGGUGCGAAAGCAGGUCAUAGUGAUCCGGUGGUUCUGAAUGGAAGGGCCAUCGCUCAACGGAUAAAAGGUACUCCGGGGAUAACAGGCUGAUACCGCCCAAGAGUUCAUAUCGACGGCGGUGUUUGGCACCUCGAUGUCGGCUCAUCACAUCCUGGGGCUGAAGUAGGUCCCAAGGGUAUGGCUGUUCGCCAUUUAAAGUGGUACGCGAGCUGGGUUUAGAACGUCGUGAGACAGUUCGGUCCCUAUCUGCCGUGGGCGCUGGAGAAUUGAGGGGGGCUGCUCCUAGUACGAGAGGACCGGAGUGGACGCAUCACUGGUGUUCGGGUUGUCAUGCCAAUGGCACUGCCCGGUAGCUAAAUGCGGAAGAGAUAAGUGCUGAAAGCAUCUAAGCACGAAACUUGCCCCGAGAUGAGUUCUCCCUGAGACUUUAAGUCUCCUGAAGGAACGUUGAAGACGACGACGUUGAUAGGCCGGGUGUGUAAGCGCAGCGAUGCGUUGAGCUAACCGGUACUAAUGAACCGUGAGGCUUAACCUUACAACGCCGAAG
This 2922-nucleotide ribosomal RNA is filed under the name Klebsiella pneumoniae. RNAcentral describes it as "bacterial LSU rRNA". It matches the Rfam family "Bacterial large subunit ribosomal RNA". Lineage: Bacteria; Pseudomonadati; Pseudomonadota; Gammaproteobacteria; Enterobacterales; Enterobacteriaceae. The record is from RNAcentral.